RNAcentral lists this unclassified non-coding RNA (520 nucleotides) under uncultured Glomus. Its description in RNAcentral is "SSU rRNA". It matches the Rfam family "Eukaryotic small subunit ribosomal RNA", at positions 569 to 1085 of the family's 1831-position model. The record is from RNAcentral. Lineage: Eukaryota; Fungi; Glomeromycota; Glomeromycetes; Glomerales; Glomeraceae.
AGCAGCCGCGGUAAUUCCAGCUCCAAUAGCGUAUAUUAAAGUUGUUGCAGUUAAAAAGCUCGUAGUUGAAUUUCGGGAUCAAUAUACCGGUCGUGCCUUGGUACGUACUGGUAUCAUUGGUUUCUCCUUUCUGACGAACCAUGAUGUCAUUAAUUUGGUGUUAUGGGAAGUUAGGACUGUUACUUUGAAAAAAUUAGAGUGUUUAAAGCAGGCUUUGGCUUGAAUACAUUAGCAUGGAAUAAUGAAAUAGGACGUUCGAACCUAUUUUGUUGGUUUCUAGGAUCAACGUAAUGAUUAAUAGGGAUAGUUGGGGGCAGUUAGUAUUCAAUUGUCAGAGGUGAAAUUCUUAGGAUUUAUUGAAGACUAACUACUGCGAAAGCAAUUUGCCAAGGAUGUUUUCAUUAAUCAAGAACGAAAGUUAGGGGAAUCGAAGACGAUCAGAUACCGUCGUAGUCUUAACCAUAAACUAUGACCGACUAGGGAUCGGAUGAUGUUAAUUUUUUAAUGUACUCAUUCGGCG